AUGGUAUGCAGAGGGAGGUGUGACACAGAAGCACAGGAGAAGAACCAUCAGAGACACAAGCAGUGACUAGGCUUACAUUGUCACAAGCAAAGGAACACCUGGGACCCGAAGAGCAGAAGUUUCUCCCCGGACCCUCUGAAUGGGCAGAAGGACUGCAGACCACUUACUUUUGAACGUCUUGCUUGCAGAACCGUAAAUAACCACUCAUAAGCUUGGGUUGUGAAAUUCUCAGAGGCAAGCUCAUCACCAGAUGUGGCCCACAGAGAGAAGAGCCCCAGCCUGGCUCUGAGUCCACAUGCAAGGAAGGGCGACCAUGCCCAGAAGAGGAGACGAAUCUCCAUUGUGACGUUGCUAGAAGAUGCUUGGUGGGACAAUGUAGAAGGUUUCCUCCCUGGUUUCAGAGCAGGCUGCUGCAGGUAGGAGGCAGACAUGCCCUCAUUGCUCUACUUACACAUGUCAUCCCUUAUGCCUCUUCUGUUGCUGUGGUGAGAGUAUAACCUCAUCCAUCACCUAUGGUGGAAAGUUUAUGCUUUCUUGUGUGCUGCCCUUGAAGGCAGGGACUGAGUCUGACUCACGGCAGUGACAGGUAUGUCAGAAACCUGCCUUACUUAUCAUCUAAUGCAAGUGUGUGUUCAUGUGUGUGCAGGUGCAUGUGUGUACAUGUGCACAUGGAGGGUAGAGAUCAGCCUCAAGUGUCGUUUCCCAGUCCAAUUUGUCGUUUCCCAGUUUUGGAGACAGCAUCUUUAUCUUUCACUGGCCUGGAGCUUGCCUGGUAGACUAGGCUGGCCAACCAGUGAGCCUUCCUGUCUCAUCUCCCCAGUGCUGGGACUACGAACACGCCACCAUGCCCAGACUUAUUUCUUUCCAUAUGGAGUUGGAGAUCAAACUCAGGCCUCCACACUUUUGAGGUUACCUCCCUCCCCCAGCUUCCACCUGCCUUUAGCAAGGGACACCUUCCAUGAUAAACCAGGCAGGCCUGGCAUUUUCCACAAUCCCCACCUGAGUCUUCUGAUAGACCUGAGGAGAGGCAAAGUUCCUCAUAGACGGAUGCCGGGAACACACAAUGCAUGGGGAUGCCAUGGAGGACGGCAGAGAGGACUGAGGCCUUCAGCUCCCCUGAAGCAACAUUUACUUGACAUUGUAAACCGAGGGAUGCACACUGGGGAUGGGACUCUGACCCUCUGUGAGAACAGCCCAGGAACUGUGUGUUGCAUUGCGGAAACCCUCUGAAGGGUCAGCACUGUCGAAACAAAACAAAGUCAAAAUGAAGACCCCAGGCACCCAGUUUAAUGCAAGCUGGAGUUCAGAUGUUGUCUCAGAUAUGAUUCUUAUUCAGCCAGUCAGUAUGUGUUUCCUGAAAUCUCACUGGUGUCACAGAGAGACAGCAGAGUGAUAUGCGUUGGCGGCCGGAUGACUUGAAAUGGCACUGCAAACACAAGAUGAUUUUACUUACGAAAUAUGGAGUUUUCAUAAAAUAGUUUGGGAUGAAGGAGACGGAGAAAAAGAACAAUGGGAAACCCCAGAAGACAAAACCUUUAAAAGUUCUUACGUGCUUGGUAUGCCUCUCCCUACUAAAUGUAAAAGAAAUCCCCCCAAAUAAAUAGUUUAAGAAAGUUUUGUAAACAGCAACUUAAUAAAAUUUACCCUAAUAAAGCUUUAUCAUCUGGUUUCAACAACAA
RNAcentral lists this long non-coding RNA (1679 nucleotides) under Mus musculus (house mouse). RNAcentral's name for it is "RIKEN cDNA 1700061E17 gene". Lineage: Eukaryota; Metazoa; Chordata; Mammalia; Rodentia; Muridae. The record is from RNAcentral.